This 215-nucleotide unclassified non-coding RNA is filed under the name soil metagenome. RNAcentral describes it as "partial contains 5.8S ribosomal RNA, internal transcribed spacer 2, and large subunit ribosomal RNA". The record is from RNAcentral.
AACCAUAGAAACCUGCGGAGUACCUGCGGAAGGAUCAUUACCGUGGGGGCCCGCCAGCGGCGGCCCCUACCGAGAUAGCACCCUUGACUUUUCAAGCACCCACUGUUUCCUCGGCGGGCUCGCCCGCCAACGGGGACCAACCAAAACCUCAUUCGCAGUAUCAGAAGUCUAAACCGUACCAAAACAAAUUAAUCAAAACUUUCAACAAUGGAUCU